Mus musculus (house mouse) is the source of this 619-nucleotide long non-coding RNA. RefSeq annotates it as predicted gene, 39033. The record is from RefSeq and is a predicted model, not a curated record. The transcript has 3 exons. NCBI's taxonomy places the organism in Eukaryota, Metazoa, Chordata, Mammalia, Rodentia, Muridae.
AUAGAACAUAUUUAAAUAUUUUAUUUUACUCUCUUUUGUAGACAAAAAUAGUAAUUAUCCUUAAGCAUCUAGAUAUGUUUUGAAGAAGAAGAUAGUGCUGCUUUAUUUGUUUGCUGAGUCAAGAAGUAUCCCUAACACAUGUCUGGUUACUACUGUUCUUUCUAUGCAAGUACUGUUGGGAUGAACAGACACUGGACAAAUGGACCCAUUGGGCUGGUUGGCUCCAAGGGACUCCGAUAUGAAAUGUGGAGAGAGGAAUCCGAGUCUACCAAGAUGUCUUCUGAACUCUACAUGCCUGCUGUGGCAUGCAUUCCUGCACACCACACACACACACACACCCCACAUUCAAACAUUCCCUAGUUGUCCCAGAUCUUUCCUCUUUGCCAUGGCAAGGUGGAUGAGGGAAAGAAUCAGCAACCCUUGUUCUUAGCUAACGGCAGGCCACUAGAGCUGACCAAGAAAUAAUGAGCAAAGAAUGAAAUACAGUACAUUACUAAUUGUUCCAAAACUUGGUGGGAAAUUGCCAUAUAACUCAAGAAGAUAAAUGUCUCUUGGAAUUGUUUUGCUUGGAGAAGCCAUAAAGAAGCAAAAUAGGAUGGCAUCAGACUACAGAGAGUAA